RNAcentral lists this ribosomal RNA (253 nucleotides) under uncultured bacterium. RNAcentral describes it as "partial 16S ribosomal RNA". It matches the Rfam family "Bacterial small subunit ribosomal RNA", at positions 524 to 776 of the family's 1533-position model. The record is from RNAcentral.
UACAGAGGGUGCGAGCGUUAAUCGGAAUUACUGGGCGUAAAGCGUGCGCAGAUGGUUACGUAAGUCGGAUGUGAAAUCCCCAGGCUUAACCUGGGAACUGCAUCCGAUACUGGAUGGCUUGAAUCCGGGAGAGGGAUGCGGAAUUCCAGGUGUAGCGGUGAAAUGCGUAGAUAUCUGGAGGAACACCGGUGGCGAAGGCGGCAUCCUGGACCGGCAUUGACGCUGAGGAGCGAAAGCCAGGGGAGCAAACGGG